GACAAUAGAGUGUGCCAAUUCAAUAGCACAAUUGUUAUUGAGCGGCCAGGGCGGGGUUUAAAUGUAUGAUUGCGGUUCUAACAGUCCAGUAAGCUGGGAGACACGAGGUGCUAGGGUGGGUGGAAAAAAGUGACUGUCAGGUGUUUAAGCCAAUAGCAGGAGAAAACCUGUGUAAUUUGAUUUGGUCCUGGAGCAACAAACCAUAGCUCCCAGUUUGGAACCACUGCCCUAUACGAAGAUUUUGAGAAAACUUUCCUGCACACAUUAUACUCUGAAUGAUUAGCAUGAUGUCAAAACAACAUCCAGAAAGCUACAUUUAAAAAAUCCACUCAUUUAGGGAGAAUGGGGCCAGCCAAUGAAAUCACAGAGGUGUUUCUAUGAGAGCCAAUCUGCGUGGUUGAAUCCUCUGCAGCAUUUCCUUGUCACACACUGAGGGAGUGGUGGAUACACAGGGAAAAGAGAAGCUGAUGCGAGCAGAGGCUGCCCUAAACAUACUGCGACAUUGAAGAGAGGAGAACAUUCUCUCCAGCUUUUAUCUCAGGUCUCUGCAAGGUCUACAGCUAUAAUUAUUUAGUAUAUGGCUUUAAAGGAACAACCAUACUGAAGCUGGAAAGAAACCCCCCUCAUGCCAGUGGUGAUGAAUCGGUUGUGGAUCGUGUCCUGAAUGGACUAUGGGGAACAACACCAUCAACAAGUUUCACCCAGUUUGGGCUCUACAUUUGUAUACCAAAGGGUAUACGUGCCUGUAUCCUGCUGAUCGAGAUGUACCAGGAUGAUCUGCGUUCAACCUCAAGCACUAAAUGCCUACUUCAGAGAUGGAAGCAAUGCUGAUAUUUACGCAGUUGCCAGCCCACCAAAAUGAUGGAACAACAUAACAGUGAUGUCAGUGCCAGUGGCUGUGCACGCCUGAACAGAGCAACACUUGAAUUGCGCCAUCUAGUGGCCACCGGCGCACAGCACACUUGAAUCCCCCUGAAAGAGAAGUGGAUGCCGGCUGUCUACAAUGGCUGCUCUCCGUCUGUUUUAUUACAUCUGUCCACUUCUUGACUCCGUGAUACAAUAUCAUUCAGAUAACUAUCAUCUCAAGACAUCUUCAUGUUGCCAUAGAUGUUCCAUGUUCUGUUGCAAGAAACAAGCUGUGGAGCAUUCUUCUUACAUGGUCUUCUUCAACCUUGUUAGUGAGCCAUGGCACCCGCACAGCAAAUAGAUCAGAAGGUAACAAGAGGGUGACUGACAUUGUGUACGGAGCAGGAGCGUGUGACUGGCCAGUAGAAAUGUGCCCACCUGCUCUGACGGAGUCAUAAAAGGACACACCUGCUUGACACUGCCUGCGUCACAGCCUGCUGAGGAGGAUCAGGAAGGGGAGCAUGCUGGCAGAUAUUACCGUAUAUACAGUAUGUACUGUAUACAUUUAAUAAGUGCAGCAUGCCUGAAAACAUGGAUAUGAUUCCCUGAUUUUCUGGAAGUGAUGAGCCCAGGGAUUUUUGCUGGCCUUGGCAGAGCAGUUCCACCGGUCAGUCUGAAGGAGCUGAGGCUGAUGGUUGCGAUGGCUAUCCAAUGCUGCACCAUUGACGUUAUUCGGUUUAAAAAAAUAUAAAAUUUAAAUGGCCAAACUAGAUGGGCCAAAGAGUUCUCAUAUUCUGUGUGAUAAAAUGAUAUGAAGUAA
Long non-coding RNA from Pseudophryne corroboree (corroboree frog), 1666 nucleotides. RefSeq lists it as uncharacterized. The record is from RefSeq and is a predicted model, not a curated record. Lineage: Eukaryota; Metazoa; Chordata; Amphibia; Anura; Myobatrachidae. The transcript has 12 exons.